This 257-nucleotide ribosomal RNA is filed under the name uncultured Gardnerella sp. RNAcentral describes it as "partial 16S ribosomal RNA". It matches the Rfam family "Bacterial small subunit ribosomal RNA", at positions 99 to 357 of the family's 1533-position model. The record is from RNAcentral. Lineage: Bacteria; Bacillati; Actinomycetota; Actinomycetes; Bifidobacteriales; Bifidobacteriaceae.
CGAACGGGUGAGUAAUGCGUGACCAACCUGCCCCAUGCUCCAGAAUAGCUCUUGGAAACGGGUGGUAAUGCUGGAUGCUCCAACUUGACGCAUGUCUUGUUGGGAAAGUGUUUAGUGGCAUGGGAUGGGGUCGCGUCCUAUCAGCUUGUAGGCGGGGUAAUGGCCCACCUAGGCUUCGACGGGUAGCCGGCCUGAGAGGGCGGACGGCCACAUUGGGACUGAGAUACGGCCCAGACUCCUACGGGAGGGCAGCAGGU